UGAACAGCCUGGCAGGGGAGGUAUCAUGAUCACAAAGGGAGUUUUCCCAGGGUGAGACUGAUCCAUUGCGCUUGAGAUCUGCCGACCCCUGCGAUUUCCCCACAUGGGGGAAACUUGACUGUUUCC
Molecule: small nuclear RNA, 126 nt
Filed under: Dasypus novemcinctus (nine-banded armadillo)
Lineage: Eukaryota; Metazoa; Chordata; Mammalia; Cingulata; Dasypodidae
Description: U1 spliceosomal RNA (ENSDNOG00000026132.1)
Rfam family: U1 spliceosomal RNA
About the family: U1 is a small nuclear RNA (snRNA) component of the spliceosome (involved in pre-mRNA splicing). Its 5' end forms complementary base pairs with the 5' splice junction, thus defining the 5' donor site of an intron. There are significant differences in sequence and secondary structure between metazoan and yeast U1 snRNAs, the latter being much longer (568 nucleotides as compared to 164 nucleotides in human).
Source: RNAcentral